Molecule: ribosomal RNA, 493 nt
Filed under: uncultured bacterium
Lineage: Bacteria
Description: partial 16S ribosomal RNA
Rfam family: Bacterial small subunit ribosomal RNA
Source: RNAcentral
AUUGAACGCUGGCGGCAUGCUUUACACAUGCAAGUCGAACGGUAACAGGUUAAGCUGACGAGUGGCGAACGGGUGAGUAAUGCAUCGGAACGUGCCCGGUCGUGGGGGAUAACACUUCGAAAGAAGUGCUAAUACCGCAUACGAUCUGAGGAUGAAAGCGGGGGACCGUAAGGCCUCGCGCGAUCGGAGCGGCCGAUGUCAGAUUAGGUAGUUGGUGGGGUAAAGGCCUACCAAGCCGACGAUCUGUAGCUGGUCUGAGAGGACGACCAGCCACACUGGGGCUGAGACACGGCCCAGACUCCUACGGGAGGCAGCAGUGGGGAAUUUUGGACAAUGGGCGCAAGCCUGAUCCAGCAAUGCCGCGUGCAGGAAGAAGGCCUUCGGGUUGUAAACUGCUUUUGUACGGAGCGAAAAGGCUCUCUCUAAUACGGGGGGCUCAUGACGGUACCGUAAGAAUAAGCACCGGCUAACUACGUGCCAGCAGCCGCGGUAA